This 326-nucleotide long non-coding RNA is filed under the name Setaria viridis. Its description in RNAcentral is "long non-coding RNA (SVIR_LNC001898)". Lineage: Eukaryota; Viridiplantae; Streptophyta; Magnoliopsida; Poales; Poaceae. The record is from RNAcentral.
UUUUGAAAGCUUGCAUUGACUGGGAUCUCGUUCAAAUGAAAAUAUGACGUGUGAUUGGGGGGAAAUGACGAACACCAUGAUACAACAUAUAGUUACAGUUAGAACGGGAGAUUUUAACAAUUGGUGUCAUUGAUAGCUCAGACAAUGUUAUAAUAUUCAGAAUUUAGCCGAAGUUCGGAGUCAACUAGAAAGAACAAAGAUGUGUAUGCCGGUACCUAGACCAUAUGUCUCAUUAAAAAUUUAAGCACUACUUCACUAUCAAAGUACUCUUCAUCAUUGGCUAACCUUUUCUAAGAACAAUUAUUGGAGGGACGGAACCCCCCCCC